AUUUUUGCAUGAAGUAGAGAGAUUAUAAAGACUGUGUACUUUUAGAUGGAAAAAUUAGACAAGUAAGGUAGUACUAUAUUUUUACUUACAUUUAAAAUGGAUACAAGGAAACAAAUGAUUUAUACCCCUCAAUUCUCUUAUAGAACACAAGAUACUAAACCAAAGCACUCAGAUUCAAUUAAAGUAUUAUACAUAGAUGAAUAAAAAACAAGCUACAAAGGUAAAAAGUUACAAGGUCUCUUAAUCUUUAUUCAAGGCACAGGAUCAUCACUUGGAAUUCCUACCACCCCACCCACAGGCAGGUUGAAUGUAGAGAGCAUUUAAUAAAUUUUGAUGGAACCAUCACAUCACACCAUGAUUCAGCUUAGAAAUGAAAACAAGCUAACCGGAAAAUGAAACUGAUUAUAUACAAGAGCAGCUGGAUUUGAGUUACAAAUACUGUAAAGAGGAAACCCAAACAAAACCCCAGAUAAUCAUGAAAAAUCUAAACACAACUUUUUUUAAAGUUACAUAUUUUUGGCCUCAUCUACCCAACAGUGUCUAAUUAUUCUUGACCACAAUAUUCACCAAUUAUAAGAAGCACCAUGAUUC
Pelodiscus sinensis (Chinese soft-shelled turtle) is the source of this 591-nucleotide long non-coding RNA. RefSeq lists it as uncharacterized. NCBI's taxonomy places the organism in Eukaryota, Metazoa, Chordata, Testudines, Trionychidae. The record is from RefSeq and is a predicted model, not a curated record.